CCUACGGGUGGCAGCAGUGGGGAAUAUUGGUCAAUGGGCGGGAGCCUGAACCAGCCAAGUCGCGUGAGGGAAGAAGGUACUGAGUAUUGUAAACUUCUUUUGCCAGGGGACAAAGGCGGCCACGGGUGGCCGUAAGAGGGUACCUUGAGAAAAGCAUCGGCAAACUCCGUGCCGGCAGCCGCGGUAAUACGGAGGAUGCGAGCGUUAUCCGAAUUUAUGGGGUUAAAGGGGUGCGCAGGCGGCGUGUCAGGUCAGCGGGAAAAUGUCGGGGCGAAACCCCGACCGGCCGUUGAACCUGGCGUGCUGGAGUUGGAGAGAGGUGAGCGGAAUUCGAGGUGUAGGGGUGAAAUGCGUAGAUAUCACGAAGAACCCCGAUUGCGAAGGCAGCAUACCGGCUCCACACUGACGCUGAGGCACGAAAGCGUGGGUAUCGAACAGGAUUAGAUACCCCGGUAGUC
Molecule: ribosomal RNA, 458 nt
Filed under: uncultured bacterium
Lineage: Bacteria
Description: partial 16S ribosomal RNA
Rfam family: Bacterial small subunit ribosomal RNA
Source: RNAcentral